UAAGGAAAGCAAUCAAAACUAAACAAGCAGUUUUAUUAUUUUAUAAAGUUAAAUUAAACUCUUUAUGCUAUCGUUGAUGCAAACACAACCAGCUUCGGCAUAUAACUUAACUAAGAAAAAGUUAGAGAAAAAUUUCGUAACAAAUAAACUCAACAAAAUCCAAAAAAUGGACGCAAAGAAUCAAAAAAUAAUAAAAAUUCAUCAUAGUAUUUGGGCUAAUCAUCUACCGGUCUAGUUCAUUCAUUUAAAAAAAUCAAAAAAAAGUGAAUAAAUAAAUUACUUGACAUUAAAAUAUAAGUGGAAAUUAAACAUGUGUUCGGAUAUAUGACGAGUUAAACGUAUCUAUCUAAAAAAGGUCAGCAUCUUUGACUAAUAACACGCAUAUUAAAUUAAAUGUUUGCAAUGCGUGCGUGGCUUAACAAAGUGUCUUAUUCAAAGGUCUAUAAAAGCUUUUCAUUUUGAAAUAUCAGUUGCAUGAAGUUGAGGGCAAAAGCAAGCUAAUCAAAAAAUGCGCAAGCAUUGCUGUUGAUGUUCCCGCGUUAUAUCAUUGCAACUAUUAUGAAAGACUUAAAUUUGAACACUAGCCGGAUCCUACAUGCAUGCUGUCAGAAAAUCACUUUUAGCUGUUUCAAGUCUGUUCCGAGUCAACCAAUACAUCAUUCACAUUAUUGCCGCCAUCAUAAGGGUUUUAAAACGUUUAGGGUAAUCGAUAUGGCAGUUCACAACGUUAACUUGCGGUGAGAGCAAUUGAACCCAUUGCUUAUAAUCGGCGUUUUAAGCAUAUAAAUAGCGAUUGCUGAAUUGCGUAUACAUUCGAUGCGACUCAGUCCUAUAAACUUUUUACGCACAUUGCAAAUCCUUCAUAAGUGCCAUAAAAUUGAACAGCUUCACGGAAGGAAGUAACCUAAAACGCUGCCAAUGGCUAUUAGGCUGGAUUGGAGUGUGAUAAAAAAAACGUGAGUUUAGUGAAAAAAGACCGAAAUAAGAUUCAUAUUGACGAUGAGUCAAAACUAAAAAAAAGCGAUAUAUGUAAUCUGCAACAACAUGCGAGAAACACUGUAACAACAAGCGGAGUGAAAAAUGAAAAAUUAAGAUACGAGAAUAUAUUGUGAUCGAAAGUAAAUAUGGGAAACUCCUGCUUUCACGGGUUUAUUAAUCUUCUAAAAAAUCUUCAUAAUAUAAUUGAUACAUUAGACGGGCAGAGGAUUGAACCAAUUUCUUAUCUUUGAGGUUGCACUAUCGUUAACCUGCGUAGAUAUUGGGUAGUCUGUAACUGCGCUUAGUGCCGUGCAUAGUCAGCAAUCUUUUCUUGCAAAUUCAACGAAAUACGGACCCAAAACAUGUCCUUAAAACUUCCAAACAACUUAAAUAAUUCCUGAAUUAAUGGCUAGUAAUCGAUAACAAUUUUUGAAGUUUAUAUCGUCGGCAAUAUUUUUAGUGAACACCGAUUCCUACAACGACUGUUUGCAGCUUAAAGGUAGUGACGUCAACAAAAACUUCGAGUUUUCCACACUAACGUUUAAGAAAGAAUUUAUUUCGGUAAGAAUUUAUAAAUUACUGGAGUAUUCCUUUUUCUCCUCGUUUUUCAUAAUCUACCAAACGCACUUGGCUUUUUGUUCAUGGUGAUUUGAAGAAUCAUGCUAUUUUAUCAAAAAAAACUUGUGAUUAUUUUCCUUUUUGGAUCGUUGGAUUAAAACCCUUUUUUUUUCUUUUUUUUCUUCUAUAAUUUAUUAAACGCACGCAUACAAGGUAAAAAUGUAAUAAUAGUUCAGGUGCACAUCAGUACUACAAUCAUGAAAUCUAAGUAGACAUUUUUGUUUCACGACUAAAGGUUACAAUUUAAGCAACUAUUUCUGUUUCUUGAACAAAAUUUAAAAUGUAAUAACAAUUUCAAUGCACAUCAGUGUUACAGCAAUGAAGUUUAAGUAGCCAUUUUUGUUUCACAAUCAAAAGUUAAAAUUUAAGCAAAUAUUUCUGUUUCUCGAAUAAAAUUUACAGCGC
Long non-coding RNA from Glossina fuscipes, 2001 nucleotides. RefSeq lists it as uncharacterized. The transcript has 4 exons. NCBI's taxonomy places the organism in Eukaryota, Metazoa, Arthropoda, Insecta, Diptera, Glossinidae. The record is from RefSeq and is a predicted model, not a curated record.